GCUUANCAUGCAGUCGAACGAUGAUUAUCUAGCUUGCUAGAUAUGAUUAGUGGCGGACGGGUGAGUAACAUUUAGGAAUCUGCCUAGUAGUGGGGGAUAGCUCGGGGAAACUCGAAUUAAUACCGCAUACGACCUACGGGUGAAAGGGGGCGCAAGCUCUUGCUAUUAGAUGAGCCUAAAUCAGAUUAGCUAGUUGGUGGGGUAAAGGCCCACCAAGGCGACGAUCUGUAACUGGUCUGAGAGGAUGAUCAGUCACACCGGAACUGAGACACGGUCCGGACUCCUACGGGAGGCAGCAGUGGGGAAUAUUGGACAAUGGGGGCAACCCUGAUCCAGCCAUGCCGCGUGUGUGAAGAAGGCCUUUUGGUUGUAAAGCACUUUAAGCAGGGAGGAGAGGCUAAUGGUUAAUACCCAUUAGAUUAGACGUUACCUGCAGAAUAAGCACCGGCUAACUCUGUGCCAGCAGCCGCGGUAAUACAGAGGGUGCGAGCGUUAAUCGGAAUUACUGGGCGUAAAGCGAGUGUAGGUGGCUCAUUAAGUCACAUGUGAAAUCCCCGGGCUUAACCUGGGAACUGCAUGUGAUACUGGUGGUGCUAGAAUAUGUGAGAGGGAAGUAGAAUUCCAGGUGUAGCGGUGAAAUGCGUAGAGAUCUGGAGGAAUACCGAUGGCGAAGGCAGCUUCCUGGCAUAAUAUUGACACUGAGAUUCGAAAGCGUGGGUAGCAAACAGGAUUAGAUACCCUGGUAGUCCACGCCGUAAACGAUGUCUACUAGCCGUUGGGGUCCUUGAGACUUUAGUGGCGCAGUUAACGCGAUAAGUAGACCGCCUGGGGAGUACGGCCGCAAGGUUAAAACUCAAAUGAAUUGACGGGGGCCCGCACAAGCGGUGGAGCAUGUGGUUUAAUUCGAUGCAACGCGAAGAACCUUACCUGGUCUUGACAUAGUGAGAAUCCUGCAGAGAUGCGGGAGUGCCUUCGGGAAUUCACAUACAGGUGCUGCAUGGCUGUCGUCAGCUCGUGUCGUGAGAUGUUGGGUUAAGUCCCGCAACGAGCGCAACCCUUUUCCUUAUUUGCCAGCGGGUUAAGCCGGGAACUUUAAGGAUACUGCCAGUGACAAACUGGAGGAAGGCGGGGACGACGUCAAGUCAUCAUGGCCCUUACGACCAGGGCUACACACGUGCUACAAUGGUAGGUACAGAGGGUUGCUACACAGCGAUGUGAUGCUAAUCUCAAAAAGCCUAUCGUAGUCCGGAUUGGAGUCUGCAACUCGACUCCAUGAAGUCGGAAUCGCUAGUAAUCGCAGAUCAGAAUGCUGCGGUGAAUACGUUCCCGGGCCUUGUACACACCGCCCGUCACACCAUGGGAGUCUAUUGCACCAGAAGUAGGUAGCCUAACGCAAGAGGGCGCUACC
Molecule: ribosomal RNA, 1408 nt
Filed under: Moraxella sp. BQEN3-02
Lineage: Bacteria; Pseudomonadati; Pseudomonadota; Gammaproteobacteria; Moraxellales; Moraxellaceae
Description: bacterial SSU rRNA
Rfam family: Bacterial small subunit ribosomal RNA
Source: RNAcentral